Molecule: ribosomal RNA, 2758 nt
Filed under: Streptococcus pneumoniae GA11426
Lineage: Bacteria; Bacillati; Bacillota; Bacilli; Lactobacillales; Streptococcaceae
Description: bacterial LSU rRNA
Rfam family: Bacterial large subunit ribosomal RNA
Source: RNAcentral
GUUACCUACAUCUGUUAAGGAUGUGAGGAGGAAGACGCAGUGAACUGAAACAUCUAAGUAGCUGCAGGAAGAGAAAGCAAAAGCGAUUGCCUUAGUAGCGGCGAGCGAAACGGCAGAAGGGCAAACCGAAGAGUUUACUCUUCGGGGUUGUAGGACUGCAAUGUGGACUCAAAGAUUAUAGAAGAAUGAUUUGGGAAGAUCAGCCAAAGAGAGUAAUAGCCUCGUAUUUAAAAUAGUCUUUGUACUUAGCAGUAUCCUGAGUACGGCGGGACACGUGAAAUCCCGUCGGAAUCUGGGAGGACCAUCUCCCAACCCUAAAUACUCCCUAGUGACCGAUAGUGAACCAGUACCGUGAGGGAAAGGUGAAAAGCACCCCGGGAGGGGAGUGAAAUAGAACCUGAAACCGUGUGCCUACAACAAGUUCGAGCCCGUUAAUGGGUGAGAGCGUGCCUUUUGUAGAAUGAACCGGCGAGUUACGUUAUGAUGCGAGGUUAAGUUGAAGAGACGGAGCCGUAGGGAAACCGAGUCUGAAUAGGGCGCCUUAGUAUCAUGACGUAGACCCGAAACCAUGUGACCUACCCAUGAGCAGGUUGAAGGUGCGGUAAGACGCACUGGAGGACCGAACCAGGGCACGUUGAAAAGUGCUUGGAUGACUUGUGGGUAGCGGAGAAAUUCCAAACGAACUUGGAGAUAGCUGGUUCUCUCCGAAAUAGCUUUAGGGCUAGCGUCGACAUUAGAGAUUCUUGGAGGUAGAGCACUGUUUGGGUGAGGGGUCCAUCCCGGAUUACCAAUCUCAGAUAAACUCCGAAUGCCAAUGAAUUAUGGUCGGCAGUCAGACUGCGAGUGCUAAGAUCCGUAGUCGAAAGGGAAACAGCCCAGACCACCAGCUAAGGUCCCAAAAUAAUUGUUAAGUGGAAAAGGAUGUGGGGUUGCACAGACAACUAGGAUGUUAGCUUAGAAGCAGCUAUUCAUUCAAAGAGUGCGUAAUAGCUCACUAGUCGAGUGACCCUGCGCCGAAAAUGUACCGGGGCUAAAACAAUUUACCGAAGCUGUGGAUACCUUUAUAGGUAUGGUAGGAGAGCGUUCUAUGUGUGAUGAAGGUAUACCGUGAGGAGUGCUGGAACGCAUAGAAGUGAGAAUGCCGGUAUGAGUAGCGAAAGACAGGUGAGAAUCCUGUCCACCGUAAGACUAAGGUUUCCAGGGGAAGGCUCGUCCGCCCUGGGUUAGUCGGGACCUAAGGAGAGACCGAAAGGUGUAUCCGAUGGACAACAGGUUGAUAUUCCUGUACUAGAGUAUGUAGUGAUGGAGGGACGCAGUAGGCUAACUAAAGCAGACGAUUGGAAGAGUCUGUCUAAGCAGUGAGGUGUGAAUUGAGUCAAAUGCUUAAUUCUAUAACAUUGAGCUGUGAUGGGGAGCGAAGUUUAGUAGCGAAGUUAGUGACGUCACACUGCCAAGAAAAGCUUCUAGCGUUUAAACAUACUCUACCCGUACCGCAAACCGACACAGGUAGUCGAGGCGAGUAGCCUCAGGUGAGCGAGAGAACUCUCGUUAAGGAACUCGGCAAAAUGACCCCGUAACUUCGGGAGAAGGGGUGCUGACUUAAAGUCAGCCGCAGUGAAUAGGCCCAAGCAACUGUUUAUCAAAAACACAGCUCUCUGCUAAAUCGUAAGAUGAUGUAUAGGGGGUGACGCCUGCCCGGUGCUGGAAGGUUAAGAGGAGUGCUUAGCGUAAGCGAAGGUAUGAAUUGAAGCCCCAGUAAACGGCGGCCGUAACUAUAACGGUCCUAAGGUAGCGAAAUUCCUUGUCGGGUAAGUUCCGACCCGCACGAAAGGCGUAAUGAUUUGGGCACUGUCUCAACGAGAGACUCGGUGAAAUUUUAGUACCUGUGAAGAUGCAGGUUACCCGCGACAGGACGGAAAGACCCCAUGGAGCUUUACUGCAGUUUGAUAUUGAGUGUCUGUACCACAUGUACAGGAUAGGUAGGAGUCUAAGAGAUCGGGACGCCAGUUUCGAAGGAGACGCUGUUGGGAUACUACCCUUGUGUUAUGGCCACUCUAACCCAGAUAGGUGAUCCCUAUCGGAGACAGUGUCUGACGGGCAGUUUGACUGGGGCGGUCGCCUCCUAAAAGGUAACGGAGGCGCCCAAAGGUUCCCUCAGAAUGGUUGGAAAUCAUUCGCAGAGUGUAAAGGUAUAAGGGAGCUUGACUGCGAGAGCUACAACUCGAGCAGGGACGAAAGUCGGGCUUAGUGAUCCGGUGGUUCCGUAUGGAAGGGCCAUCGCUCAACGGAUAAAAGCUACCCUGGGGAUAACAGGCUUAUCUCCCCCAAGAGUUCACAUCGACGGGGAGGUUUGGCACCUCGAUGUCGGCUCGUCGCAUCCUGGGGCUGUAGUCGGUCCCAAGGGUUGGGCUGUUCGCCCAUUAAAGCGGCACGCGAGCUGGGUUCAGAACGUCGUGAGACAGUUCGGUCCCUAUCCGUCGCGGGCGUAGGAAAUUUGAGAGGAUCUGCUCCUAGUACGAGAGGACCAGAGUGGACUUACCGCUGGUGUACCAGUUGUCUUGCCAAAGGCAUCGCUGGGUAGCUAUGUAGGGAAGGGAUAAACGCUGAAAGCAUCUAAGUGUGAAACCCACCUCAAGAUGAGAUUUCCCAUGAUUAUAUAUCAGUAAGAGCCCUGAGAGAUGAUCAGGUAGAUAGGUUAGAAGUGGAAGUGUGGCGACACAUGUAGCGGACUAAUACUAAUAGCUCGAGGACUUAUCCA